UUUUAUGGUUUUAAAUUCCAUGAGGUGAACCAACGCCUGUGAAUCAUUUCGAUAGAGUCCUUGAAGUGGAUACCUUGGUAUGCAGGGUUGUCAAAUUAUGCAAAUGAAUGCAACAUUAAAAUAAUACUCCAAAUUGACAACAACACUUCAAAUGGUCUGCAAUUUUAUUUGCUAUGGUCUACAUGUUUCGCCUGCAAGGCAGGCUUCAUCAGGACCAUUUUUAUACAGAAAUUAAUCCCUGAAGUACUCAAAGUGGUGCAAAUUUGACGUUGUCAUGGUGAGAGAAACAAUGAAAAGUGAAAGUAGCAAUACAGAGUUAUAAAUAGAUAAGAUAAAUAUAGAAAAUUAAAAGUUUGUUUACAAUGUAACUUGAGUUCGUUUUACUAUUAUAUGAUACAUGAAAUUGUUCUUAAGGCUUGGUAUCUAAUUGGACGAACUUCCCAUGGUUCCUACCACUUCGCAAGGCUUCUCUUCC
RNAcentral lists this long non-coding RNA (475 nucleotides) under Mytilus galloprovincialis (Mediterranean mussel). The record is from RNAcentral. Lineage: Eukaryota; Metazoa; Mollusca; Bivalvia; Mytilida; Mytilidae.